Molecule: transfer RNA, 83 nt
Organism: Sphaerobolus stellatus SS14
Lineage: Eukaryota; Fungi; Basidiomycota; Agaricomycetes; Geastrales; Sphaerobolaceae
Rfam family: tRNA
About the family: Transfer RNA (tRNA) molecules are approximately 80 nucleotides in length. Their secondary structure includes four short double-helical elements and three loops (D, anti-codon, and T loops). Further hydrogen bonds mediate the characteristic L-shaped molecular structure. tRNAs have two regions of fundamental functional importance: the anti-codon, which is responsible for specific mRNA codon recognition, and the 3' end, to which the tRNAs corresponding amino acid is attached (by aminoacyl-tRNA synthetases). tRNAs cope with the degeneracy of the genetic code in two manners: having more than one tRNA (with a specific anti-codon) for a particular amino acid; and 'wobble' base-pairing, i.e. permitting non-standard base-pairing at the 3rd anti-codon position.
Source: Rfam
GCCGCGUUGGCCUAAUUGGUAGGGCGUCUCUUUCCUAUUUAAGCUAUAGGAGAAGCUUGCGGGUUCGAGUCCCGUACGUGGUA